UACUCAGCAAGAUUCUGGUUUUACUUCUCAUCUUGGGAGUUACCACCAAGACGUUAGGUAUGGCUGUGUGACCCACUUUGGCCAAUGAAAUGUGAACAGAAAUGGCAUAUGUCAUUUGUGGACAAAAACAUUUAAGCAAGAAUUUCCCUUGCUGUCUUCCUUGACUGGAGCGACCAUGGAAGCCUGUGUUGAGAUGAAGAAGCUGCCAAAAGAUCAAAACACUUGAAAACUUGAGCAGCCACAUGGACUACAGCUGUGCUGGAGACUUACCUGGACCCACAGCAGGCUUGAGACAUUGCCCAGACUGGUCUCAAAUUCCUGGGCUGAAAUGAUCCUCCUGCUUUGGCCUCCCAAAGUGCAGGGAUUACAGUCAUGAACCACUGAGCCUGGCCCAUCUUGGCACUUUUGAUCGUGGACUUCUAACCUUCAGAACUGUGAGAAAAUAAAUUUCUGUUGUUUAAGCUA
This is a long non-coding RNA of Gorilla gorilla gorilla (western lowland gorilla), 465 nucleotides long. RefSeq lists it as uncharacterized. Lineage: Eukaryota; Metazoa; Chordata; Mammalia; Primates; Hominidae. The record is from RefSeq and is a predicted model, not a curated record. The transcript has 2 exons.